This 253-nucleotide ribosomal RNA is filed under the name uncultured bacterium. RNAcentral's name for it is "partial 16S ribosomal RNA". It matches the Rfam family "Bacterial small subunit ribosomal RNA", at positions 524 to 776 of the family's 1533-position model. The record is from RNAcentral.
UACGUAGGGUGCGAGCGUUAAUCGGAAUUACUGGGCGUAAAGCGUGCGCAGGCGGUUCGUUGUGUCCGAUGUGAAAGCCCCGAGCUUAACUUGGGAAUGGCAUUGGAAACUGGCGAGCUGGAGUGUGGCAGAGGGGGGUGGAAUUCCACGUGUAGCAGUGAAAUCCGUAGAUAUGCGAAGGAACACCAGAGGCGAAGGCGCCUUCCUGGACAAGUAUUGACGCUGAGGCGCGAAAGCGUGGGGAUCAAACAGG